GCGCAAGGUGGACCGGAUGUGAGGGCGCGGCUGCAGGGCCGGCUGGAAGGUGUGUCUCGGAGUAUUUCAAAACUGCACAUUGUAAAAGAGAAACAAGAGUGGCAGGGAUAAUUGGUCUCUGAAAGAUUACUAUAAACUGGACAAAAUACAAAAGCACAGAGAUUUUGGAGAGGAGUCAACACUCAAGAAAAAAAGGGACAUCAGGAUACAUGCAGUUUUGGAAAAAAAAUAUAAUGCUGUGGAGAUAAACUUAUCUUUGUAGCUGAAACAAGAAUUCCUUUGUAGGAAGAGGUCUAACUCUGUUGGAAGAUCAGAGAAAUAGUCACUGAUUGAUCUUCCUGAAACACUUGCUCAAGUGGACAAGUUGGAGCUUGUCAGGAAAUCCAAGAAGCCAAGCAUGUCCAGCCAUUGAAAUGGGACCUUGGAGUACACGGGCCUCUCACUAUUGUGGCCUCUCCCGUUGCGGAGCACAGAUUCCAGAGGCGCAGGCUCAGCGGCCAUGGCCCACGGGCCCAGCCGCUCUGCGGUAGGUGGGAUCUUCCCGGACCGGGGCACGAACCCAUGUCCCCUACAUCGGCAGGCGGACUCUCAACCACAGCACCACCAGGGAAGCCCAAAUUUAUUUUUUAUUGAAGUAUAGUUGAAUUACAAUGUUGUAUUAAUUACUGGUGUACAGCAAAGUGACUCAGUGAUACAUAUAUAUACAUUUUUUUCGUAUUCUUUUCUGUUAUGGCUUAUCACAGGAUAUUGAAUAUAGUUCCCUGUGCUAUACAGUAGGACCUUGUUGUUACUUUUUGCUAUUAUAAAUUUGUAAUAAAAACCUUCUGUUUUUUAUUUUUGCGGUACGCGGGCCUGUCACUGUUGUGGCCUCUCCCGUUGCGGGGCACAGGCUCCGGACACGCAGGCUCAGCGGCCAUGGCUCACGGGCCCAGCCGCUCUGCGGCAUGUGGGAUCUUCCCGGGCCGGGGCACGAACCCGCGUCCCCUGCAUCGGCAGGCGGACUCUCAACCACCACUGCGCCAUUAGGGAAGCCCAAACCUUCUCUUUUGGUAAAGGCAAAUCAGUUUGUUUUGGAGAUUGAUUCCUAAGAUGGAAAUGAUCGCAUAAAGGGUGUGAGCAUUUUAAAUGUCUUAAUAUUGAUUGCUUAUCAAAAUAUGAAGUGCAGUUUACCCUCUGGGACAGAUCUUAAAUUGUAUCCUGGGCAUUGGUGUCCUUAUUUGUGCUCCUAUUGGGGCAGAAGCCUUGGGCUGGAGUCCAGUGGGCAUGGCUGGGCCAUUGACCUUUUCAUUGUUCUUACUAGCUCCUGCCCACAGGUCUGACUCUGUUCUGCACACCUCUAACUACUGUCUUGAGUUUUGUUCCAACUCAGUGAACCUCCCAUAACCAUGGUGCUGCUAGCCCCUACUCUGAGCAUCAGUCCCAUUGCCAAGACUCCUGCUUCUACGCCCUAACACAACAUAGGACCCUUGUGUCUGAUGGACCUACAGUUCCAGUUAGCUCACCCUCCUGGAUAUAGUGGUUUGUACAGAUGACUAAUUAUGCACAAGCCAGGUUCUCCCUCAGGUAAGCCCCUCCCUGCUAAGCCCUGCUUAUUUCCAGCUGAUUUUUAAGAGCAAAGAUUAUGGUAUCAGAUAGAGCUCAGUUCAAAUAUCUACUUUUAUGAGUUUUGCAUAUGUGUCCUUGAAUCUGUUUCCUCACCGUAAACAGGGGUAAUAAUAUGUAGUGAUCUUUACUAGUUUGUAUUUU
Physeter macrocephalus (sperm whale) is the source of this 1746-nucleotide long non-coding RNA. RefSeq lists it as uncharacterized. NCBI's taxonomy places the organism in Eukaryota, Metazoa, Chordata, Mammalia, Artiodactyla, Physeteridae. The transcript has 5 exons. The record is from RefSeq and is a predicted model, not a curated record.